AGAGUUUGAUCAUGGCUCAGAACGAACGCUGGCGGCAGGCCUCAAACAUGCAAGUCUAGGGGACGUAGCAAUACGUCACCGGCGGACGGGUGCGUAACACGUGGGAAUGUACUGAGUGGUUCGGAACAACUGCGGGAAACUGCAGCUAAUACCGAAUGAGCCCGAAAGGGGAAAGAUUUAUCGCCAUUCAAUCAGCCCGCGUCUGAUUAGCUAGUUGGUGAGGUAACGGCUCACCAAGGCGACGAUCAGUAGCUGGUCUGAGAGGAUGAUCAGCCACAUUGGGACUGAGACACGGCCCAAACUCCUACGGGAGGCAGCAGUGGGGAAUAUUGGACAAUGGGCGCAAGCCUGAUCCAGCCAUGCCGCGUGAGUGAUGAAGGCCCUAGGGUUGUAAAGCUCUUUUGUGCGGGAAGAUAAUGACGGUACCGCAAGAAUAAGCCCCGGCUAACUUCGUGCCAGCAGCCGCGGUAAUACGAAGGGGGCUAGCGUUGCUCGGAAUCACUGGGCGUAAAGGGUGCGUAGGCGGGUCUUUAAGUCAGGGGUGAAAUCCUGGAGCUCAACUCCAGAACUGCCUUUGAUACUGAAGAUCUUGAGUUCGGGAGAGGUGAGUGGAACUGCGAGUGUAGAGGUGAAAUUCGUAGAUAUUCGCAAGAACACCAGUGGCGAAGGCGGCUCACUGGCCCGAUACUGACGCUGAGGCACGAAAGCGUGGGGAGCAAACAGGAUUAGAUACCCNNGUAGUCC
Molecule: ribosomal RNA, 744 nt
Filed under: uncultured bacterium
Lineage: Bacteria
Description: bacterial SSU rRNA
Rfam family: Bacterial small subunit ribosomal RNA
Source: RNAcentral